GAUCGCAGUCUGCAACUCGACUGCGUGAAGGUGGAGUCGCUAGUAAUCGCGGAUCAGCAACGCCGCGGUGAAUGCGUUCCCGGGCCUUGUACACACCGCCCGUCAAGUCAUGAAAGUGGGCAGCACCCGAAGACGGCGGCCUAACCCUUGUGGGGGGAGCCGUCUAAGGUGAGGCUCGUGAUUGGGACUAAGUCGUAACAAGGUAGC
This 207-nucleotide ribosomal RNA is filed under the name uncultured bacterium. RNAcentral's name for it is "partial 16S ribosomal RNA". It matches the Rfam family "Bacterial small subunit ribosomal RNA", at positions 1296 to 1500 of the family's 1533-position model. The record is from RNAcentral.